RNAcentral lists this non-coding RNA (28 nucleotides) under Rattus norvegicus (Norway rat). Lineage: Eukaryota; Metazoa; Chordata; Mammalia; Rodentia; Muridae. The record is from RNAcentral.
UGUCAACAAAUGACUUCAUAAACCAGAG